This 656-nucleotide ribosomal RNA is filed under the name Salmonella enterica. RNAcentral describes it as "bacterial SSU rRNA". It matches the Rfam family "Bacterial small subunit ribosomal RNA", at positions 108 to 760 of the family's 1533-position model. RNAcentral also lists the same sequence under 2 other names. The record is from RNAcentral. Lineage: Bacteria; Pseudomonadati; Pseudomonadota; Gammaproteobacteria; Enterobacterales; Enterobacteriaceae.
GAGUAAUGUCUGGGAAACUGCCUGAUGGAGGGGGAUAACUACUGGAAACGGUGGCUAAUACCGCAUAACGUCGCAAGACCAAAGAGGGGGACCUUCGGGCCUCUUGCCAUCAGAUGUGCCCAGAUGGGAUUAGCUUGUUGGUGAGGUAACGGCUCACCAAGGCGACGAUCCCUAGCUGGUCUGAGAGGAUGACCAGCCACACUGGAACUGAGACACGGUCCAGACUCCUACGGGAGGCAGCAGUGGGGAAUAUUGCACAAUGGGCGCAAGCCUGAUGCAGCCAUGCCGCGUGUAUGAAGAAGGCCUUCGGGUUGUAAAGUACUUUCAGCGGGGAGGAAGGUGUUGUGGUUAAUAACCGCAGCAAUUGACGUUACCCGCAGAAGAAGCACCGGCUAACUCCGUGCCAGCAGCCGCGGUAAUACGGAGGGUGCAAGCGUUAAUCGGAAUUACUGGGCGUAAAGCGCACGCAGGCGGUCUGUCAAGUCGGAUGUGAAAUCCCCGGGCUCAACCUGGGAACUGCAUUCGAAACUGGCAGGCUUGAGUCUUGUAGAGGGGGGUAGAAUUCCAGGUGUAGCGGUGAAAUGCGUAGAGAUCUGGAGGAAUACCGGUGGCGAAGGCGGCCCCCUGGACAAAGACUGACGCUCAGGUGCGAAAGC